This is a long non-coding RNA of Myotis myotis, 3063 nucleotides long. RefSeq lists it as uncharacterized. The record is from RefSeq and is a predicted model, not a curated record. NCBI's taxonomy places the organism in Eukaryota, Metazoa, Chordata, Mammalia, Chiroptera, Vespertilionidae. The transcript has 3 exons.
GCUGGGGCUGGCGAGGCUGGUCGGGAUUCGGCUGCGCUUUUGCAAAGGGAAUCAAUGAAACCCCGGCGAAGGCUAGUCUGGCUGCAGGCGGCUGCGUAGCCCCGUGCUCACUCACUCGCUCGCAGAGCCGCACUCGCGCCAUGCUGACCUUGAACUCCGACAAUUCCUUCUCCAGCCCCCCAGCCUCCCCUCCUCCAAGCCCCUACCCCGCCAGAGCGAGCGCCUCAGUGACAGGGCAACUGUUUUGAUGGUCUGCUCUUCACCUCCCGGCCGAGUCAAAGAGUUGUCUGGAAAGAGCGUGCAAACUGGCUCUGAGCGAUCAGGGAGCUGUGCGAACGUGGCCGCCCCGGCCUCGAGGCUGAGGCCAGUCACUCGGUUUGUAAAAGGCUAAACAAAUGGGUCCCGCAGCAGAGAAACAGGCCACUCUGGCGGUCGCGCUGCCUGCCUGCUUUCGCCCUCCUUCACAAUCACCUGGAAAGCGGGGCGGGGGGCGCCUGUCGACCUCUCUUUAUAGUCGGGUCCUUUUGUGACUCCCAGACAGUAGGGAGUUCGGUGGAGGGGUGGGGGUGUCUGAUGUAUUUCCAGUGUGAUUUGAGCACAAUCUUUGUGUUUACACGCAUGCUUAGAGUCUGUUUGGGUAUCUUUUCUGGGGGAGAAGAAAAACUUUAGUCGCCCGAGGGUUACUUCUCUCCAGAUUCAUAACUAAACGCCCAACUGAGCAAAACUCUUAAUUUUCAACCCCCCCCCCCUUCUUGGCUCCGGCAAAUAUUUACCUCGAUUUAAAUGAUGGUUCUUGUGACUCGGCCGACCGGAAUCAUACCAAAGACUUGUUUAUUUCUAAUUUGCAAAUUGCGGGCACUCUGAUUUUAAAGACUGUUUUUCCGUGAGGAACUUUCAAAAAUCUUGUUUUCUUCCAAAGAACUGGACAUUUCUUAUAGGAAACGGAACUCUUCAGAAAGCAGUAAUCAUUCUAACUCCGGAGUUCCUUAGCCCGAGAACUCGACCACUAUGUUCCUGGAAACAGUCGUGUGACGUUCUGUACAACACUUCCCAACAGGCCCCCUUUCUCACGUUAAAAACGAGAAGUCGUCUUGUCUGAAUGUCCACAGACCCUAGGGAUGCUGACAGGCACUGAAUGGAAGAAGCCAGCCCAACCCGAACAGCUGGCGGGAUCAGCACUGUUGUCCUGAGAUCUGUGGCUGAUAGAGAAGCUGGGGGUGGCCUGGUGAGGGCCCCACAGGCCGCCGCCUGGUGAGAGGGAAGAUACCCCGGGAACAUCCCUGGUGGGCUGACCUGUCUCAGGAGCCCAGCAGACAGCUGAACUGAAAACUCCCUGACCACCAGAUUUGGUUGUUUGGGGGUGCACGGAAGCACCCUGGAGACCUCAGACGUGCGCCAGCCCCUUGAGAAGCAGUAGGUGUCAGAAUGUGAGCCUCGCACCCCAAGAGCACGAUUCCUUUGGGUGAGGAUGGAUUUGACAGCAGAUACAUAGGCCUUUGUUUGUUUGUUUCAACCAACGCUGAGGUGUCACCUUCCCCUUUCACCCCGGGUCCCUCGUACAGGCCCCACACACGGAUUUUCAUUUUCAACACGUAGCGCCCGACUGAGGGAUCUGAGAUCACGACUCAGAAAACGGGAAAGGUCAGUCUGACUAACACCUUGCCUGGCGUCCUGGGAUCAGCAUCCAAGAGCAACAGAUCCGAGAUGGGCUGCAGGCUCCCGGGAGACAGGCGAUUCCCAUGUGUGAGAAAGCCCCGGGGGCAAGGCUCCCUGACGUCACCCAAGUUCAGGACCCAGGGCUUUACGUGACACGGGGGUGGGGGCUGGAAUUCUCCCGGAAGAACACCAGAGCCAGGCUGGUGGGUUCAGAGGGAACGCAGGGGGGAGGGAGAGGAGCCCUUUUCUGCUAAUCAAAGGAGAAACCAAAUAAAACGGAGGGAGUCCAAGAAAAAUACAACGCUAUUGUUCUGGGGCAGAAGAUGCUGGCUGGGAGGCUUCGUUGAGCAAUGCCAGUCACACCCUUUCUCUGUGGGACUGCAGGAAUGUUGGCUGUUUCCCUGGAGGCCAGGUGGGAGGUGGGCAGACAGGUCUAUGGAGAUGAGGAGUUCUUGGAGUUGGAACUCUCUGAACAUCCCCAUGGCCUUGCAGCUGGGAGGCGGACACGGAGCAGCAGGAAUGUGGGUUGAAUCAGGGCCAGGAAGCAGCAAUCACGCUCCAACUCCCCACACUCAGACUUCUCUCCCUCCACUAUGAACGGCGAAGACUCAGUUGGAAAACCUUGGAUGCAGAAUGGCUCGGAGUCACCCACAGUGUCCGUCUGGGUGUCGCGGAAACUGCAUCCCUCUGAGAAAGACCGUGUCAUGAGGGCGCUUUCAAUGUUUUCCAAAGAGCUCAUCCUGCGAUUGGAUUUGUUGGUUCUGAGGUCUCUGGACUUAGGCCAAGGAACGUUAUUACCGAUCUAACCCACAGCGACAUCUGGAUUCAGAACCUUUGGGUUCUCUCACCGCCCCCCCCCCCCCCCCCCAAUCAACUUGCUCUGUGACCUCAGAAAAGCUACACCCCAUCUCUGGGCUGCAAUGACUCUCCUACUCAAAGGUGGUUUUUCAUCAAAAUUCAGCACGUACUCAUUCUUUCUUUUCUCUCUCCCAAGGCUGGGGGGCUUCCCUUAGAGACCCCCCAACAUGCUCUCUUGUGGAGGAGUCUGCUAGGAGUGAGUCCAAAGGAGCUUAGAGUGAGGGAAGGGUUGGAAGUGACCAAGCGCUUUUUGGGCUGAAAGGUGACAGCCCCUUUGCCUUUAAGGAAUCCCAUGCCUUACCCUAGCCACAGAGAAGCGCUCCUCAUCUGUGGGGCACCCACCCUGGCACUUUCGGGGUGUAGGGUUUGUAUGGCAGCCACUACGGAAAAUCUGUCUGAGCUGGAGGCGAGGGAUGAGCCAGCCUGGAAUGCUCCCACAGUCACAGCCGUGUUUACAGGAGAGCAUAUGGAUGGAGUUUAGCUUUGAUACAUUCCCAUCGCUUUUUACAGAAUGAUUUUCCAGCCAAUAAAAUACAUACCUUAACCACU